UGGGGAAUAUUGGACAAUGGGCGAAAGCCUGAUCCAGCCAUGCCGCGUGUGUGAAGAAGGCCUUUUGGUUGUAAAGCACUUUAAGCGAGGAGGAGGCUACUUAGAUUAAUACUCUAGGAUAGUGGACGUUACUCGCAGAAUAAGCACCGGCUAACUCUGUGCCAGCAGCCGCGGUAAUACAGAGGGUGCGAGCGUUAAUCGGAUUUACUGGGCGUAAAGCGUGCGUAGGCGGCUUUUUAAGUCGGAUGUGAAAUCCCUGAGCUUAACUUAGGAAUUGCAUUCGAUACUGGGAAGCUAGAGUAUGGGAGAGGAUGGUAGAAUUCCAGGUGUAGCGGUGAAAUGCGUAGAGAUCCGGAGGAAUACCGAUGGCGAAGGCAGCCAUCUGGCCUAAUACUGACGCUGAGGUACGAAAGCAUGGGGAGCAAACAGGAUUAGAUACCCUGGUAGUCCAUGCCGUAAACGAUGUCUACUAGCCGUUGGGGCCUUUGAGGCUUUAGUGGCGCAGCUAACGCGAUAAGUAGACCGCCUGGGGAGUACGGUCGCAAGACUAAAACUCAAAUGAAUUGACGGGGGCCCGCACAAGCGGUGGAGCAUGUGGUUUAAUUCGAUGCAACGCGAAGAACCUUACCUGGUCUUGACAUAGUAAGAACUUUCCAGAGAUGGAUUGGUGCCUUCGGGAACUUACAUACAGGUGCUGCAUGGCU
This 704-nucleotide ribosomal RNA is filed under the name uncultured Acinetobacter sp. RNAcentral describes it as "bacterial SSU rRNA". It matches the Rfam family "Bacterial small subunit ribosomal RNA", at positions 355 to 1050 of the family's 1533-position model. Lineage: Bacteria; Pseudomonadati; Pseudomonadota; Gammaproteobacteria; Moraxellales; Moraxellaceae. The record is from RNAcentral.